This 125-nucleotide ribosomal RNA is filed under the name Trametes versicolor. RNAcentral describes it as "partial 5.8S ribosomal RNA". It matches the Rfam family "5.8S ribosomal RNA", at positions 33 to 154 of the family's 154-position model. From Rfam's summary of the family: 5.8S ribosomal RNA (5.8S rRNA) is a component of the large subunit of the eukaryotic ribosome. It is transcribed by RNA polymerase I as part of the 45S precursor that also contains 18S and 28S rRNA. The record is from RNAcentral. Lineage: Eukaryota; Fungi; Basidiomycota; Agaricomycetes; Polyporales; Polyporaceae.
UCGAUGAAGAACGCAGCGAAAUGCGAUAAGUAAUGUGAAUUGCAGAAUUCAGUGAAUCAUCGAAUCUUUGAACGCACCUUGCGCUCCUUGGUAUUCCGAGGAGCAUGCCUGUUUGAGUGUCAUGG